RNAcentral lists this ribosomal RNA (774 nucleotides) under uncultured archaeon. RNAcentral describes it as "bacterial SSU rRNA". It matches the Rfam family "Archaeal small subunit ribosomal RNA", at positions 37 to 871 of the family's 1478-position model. The record is from RNAcentral.
AGCAUCGCUUAGCAUGCGAGUCGAGAGGGUUCGGCCCUCGGCAGACCGCUCAGUAACACGUGGAGAACCUGCCUUAAGGCGGGGGAUAAUCUCGGGAAACUGAGGAUAAUACCCCAUAGACCACUUAUGCUGGAAUGCUUAGUGGUCCAAAGCUCCGGCACCUUAGGAUGGCUCUGCGACGUAUCAGGUAGUAGGGAGGGUAACGGCCUUCCUAGCCUACGACGCGUACGGGCGUUGAGAGACGUCGCCCGGAGAUGAACUCUGAGACACGAGUUCAGGCCCUACGGGGCGCAGCAGGCGCGAAAACUGCACAAUGCUGGGAACAGCGAUGCGGGAAUUCCAAGUGCCGGCACAAAGUGUCGGCUGUUCCAUUGUCUAAAAAACAUAGGAAGUAAGGGCUGGGUAAGACGGGUGCCAGCCGCCGCGGUAAUACCUGCAGCCCGAGUGGUGGCCGUUAUUAUUGGGCCUAAAACGUCCGUAGCCGGUUGGGUAGAUGCCUGUGUAAAUCGAACGGCUUAACCGUUCGAAGUGCGGGUAGACCGCCCGACUAGGGACCGGGAGAGUCACGAAGUACUCCGGGGGUAGAGGUGAAAUUCUGUAAUCCUCGGGGGACUACCGGUGGCGAAAGGCGUCGUGAUAGAACGGCUCCGACGGUGAGGGACGAAGCCCUGGGGCGCAACCGGGAUUAGAUACCCGGGUUAGUUCUGAUGUAACGCUGCGGUCUGCUGUCGCAGGUCUUACGAAGGUCAGUUCGUUACCUGGAGAAAGAAGCAG